RNAcentral lists this ribosomal RNA (253 nucleotides) under uncultured bacterium. RNAcentral's name for it is "partial 16S ribosomal RNA". It matches the Rfam family "Bacterial small subunit ribosomal RNA", at positions 524 to 776 of the family's 1533-position model. The record is from RNAcentral.
GACAGAGGGUGCAAACGUUGCUCGGAAUUACUGGGCGUAAAGCGCGUGUAGGCGGAACGGUAAGUCGGGUGUGAAAUCCCCGGGCUCAACCCGGGAACUGCAUUCGAAACUGCCGCUCUUGAGUGCCGGAGAGGGAAGCGGAAUUCCUGGUGUAGAGGUGAAAUUCGUAGAUAUCAGGAGGAACACCGGUGGCGAAGGCGGCUUCCUGGACGGUAACUGACGCUGAGACGCGAAAGCGUGGGGAGCAAACAGG